UUUUUCUCUCUCGCGGGUGGCGUGACGACUUGCCGUCGUGGCGCCCGUGCCCGACGGCCCGGCGAGGCGGCGACCGCUUGCGGCUUCGGCCGCGGCUGUCUGACUGGUGGGGUGCGGCAGUUCUUCGGUCCCACCAGUCAGCCACUUCCACACUUUUACUCUAGGUUAGGUUAGUCGGGUGGGCCCAGCCCAAACAUUCUCCCCAACAAAGAGGUGGCGGCGCGGCAGAGGGCGGCGUCGGUGACCCGGCUGGCGCGCGGAGAUGGCGGCUGGCACGGCAUCCCUUCCUCAGGAGCUUCGAUGCACGACAGCGUGCGGCCAGAGGAGGGGCUUGGCCGAGCGGCGGCGGGCGUGGCGGAGGGGGUGAGGCAGCUCCAGGCCCUCCUGCGCCGGCUGCUCCUCCCUGCAGCUCCGCAGUGGCCUCCCCGCAGCAGUCUACCGCCUGCUCACUGUGCUGGAGAAGUUCCUGCAGGAGGACUGAGUGGUGGUCGCCGCCCCUCCACAUGUUGGAUCUUAACCUCAAUGAGGAGUUGCAGGAGCAGGUGGUGACUGUGCGAUAUGGUGCAUCCAUCUGGACAAUUGCUCCAGACUAGAUGCUGCAUUUGCUCAGGUUCUUGUGCAUCCAUCUGGACAAUGGCAGUCAGGCAGUCAAUGCUGGGAGGAUUAUACUGCAUUUCAGGGAGUAUCUCAAGUUUGUUAUAGAAGCUGAAAGGGAGGGCAUUGGUGAAUGAUGGGGUAAUGGUUGAUGCACUGAGAUGAGGCCUACAGUUUAAGAAUAUGUGUUUCAAGUCUGGUGUCAAUUUUGGAGAAAUGAUAAUGUUUGUUCCUAGUAUUUUCUGCUGGCUGCACUCAUGCAAGAUAGAGUUCAGCACACUUUUCUUGCUGAUCUAGACAAAAGUGGACUACCAGAAAAAUAUCUGUGUGAUCGUAGAAGAAGAAUUAUGGAUGAACUUGGAUGUAAAGGUGUCCCCAACAUGUGUAAAUAUUAUGCCUCUAGUCUCACACACAAAUUUCAAUCCAGCUUACAGAUCCUUCCAUCCAAAUCUUCACUUUUAACUAUAGUUAGUGCAGUGCAACAACUCUGUAUUUACAUGUCUUAAAUGCAGAAAUGCUGAGCUUACAUUCUUCUCAUGUUGUACCAAGAUUGAAUGUUUAGGAAGUGAAGGAUCACUUGACGGAAUAAAUGCACUACUUGUCUGUCCUUUCCACCUAGUCUC
Setaria italica (foxtail millet) is the source of this 1217-nucleotide long non-coding RNA. RefSeq lists it as uncharacterized. Lineage: Eukaryota; Viridiplantae; Streptophyta; Magnoliopsida; Poales; Poaceae. The transcript has 5 exons. The record is from RefSeq and is a predicted model, not a curated record.